GCCAGGUGUGGUGGUGCACACCUGUAGUCCCAGCUACUCAGGAGGCUGAGGCAGGAGGAUCACUUAAGCUCAGGGGUCAAGGCUGCAGUGAGUUGUGAUGACAUCAAUGCAUUCCAGCCUGGGCGACAAAGUGAGAUCCUGUCUCUA
Unclassified non-coding RNA from Pongo abelii (Sumatran orangutan), 147 nucleotides. It matches the Rfam family "Metazoan signal recognition particle RNA". Rfam says of the family: The signal recognition particle (SRP) is a universally conserved ribonucleoprotein. It is involved in the co-translational targeting of proteins to membranes. NCBI's taxonomy places the organism in Eukaryota, Metazoa, Chordata, Mammalia, Primates, Hominidae. The record is from Ensembl.